This 69-nucleotide transfer RNA is filed under the name Megaris sp. Its description in RNAcentral is "tRNA-Ser". The record is from RNAcentral. Lineage: Eukaryota; Metazoa; Arthropoda; Insecta; Hemiptera; Megarididae.
AGUCAGUUAAUUUAUUAAAAACUUAUAUUUUGAAAAUAUAAAAUGGAAGAUGAAACUCUCCACUGACUU